AGGGGUAACAUAGAAAAGCUUGCUUUUCUGAUGACGACCGGCGCACGGGUGCGUAACGCGUAUACAACCUACCUUUUAGCGGGGAAUAGCCCAGGGAAACUUGGAUUAAUGCCCCAUAGUAUAUAAACUUCUCCUGAAGUUUAUAUUAAACAUUUAUGGCUAUUAGAUGGGUAUGCGUCCUAUUAGUUAGUUGGUAAGGUAACGGCUUACCAAGGCAGCGAUAGGUAGGGGUCCUGAGAGGGAGAUCCCCCACACUGGUACUGAGACACGGACCAGACUCCUACGGGAGGCAGCAGUGAGGAAUAUUGGACAAUGGGCGAGAGCCUGAUCCAGCCAUGCCGCGUGCAGGAAGACUGCCCUAUGGGUUGUAAACUGCUUUUACAGAGGAAGAACCACCCCCACGUGUGGGGGUUUGACGGUACUCUGCGAAUAAGGAUCGGCUAACUCCGUGCCAGCAGCCGCGGUAAUACGGAGGAUCCAAGCGUUAUCCGGAAUCAUUGGGUUUAAAGGGUCCGUAGGCGGGCAGUUAAGUCAGUGGUGAAAGUCUUCCGCUCAACGGGAGAACUGCCAUUGAUACUGAUUGUCUUGAGUUAUUAUGAAGUGGUUAGAAUGAGUAGUGUAGCGGUGAAAUGCAUAGAUAUUACUCAGAAUACCGAUUGCGAAGGCAGAUCACUAAUAAUAUACUGACGCUGAUGGACGAAAGCGUAGGUAGCGAACAGGAUUAGAUACCCUGGUAGUCUACGCCGUAAACGAUGGUUACUAGCUGUUCGGCCCAAUUGAGGGCUGAGUGGUUAAGCGAAAGUGAUAAGUAACCCACCUGGGGAGUACGUUCGCAAGAAUGAAACUCAAAGGAAUUGACGGGGGCCCGCACAAGCGGUGGAGCAUGUGGUUUAAUUCGAUGAUACGCGAGGAACCUUACCAGGGCUUAAAUGUAGUCUGACAGGUCUGGAAACAGACUUUUCUUCGGACAGAUUACAAGGUGCUGCAUGGUUGUCGUCAGCUCGUGCCGUGAGGUGUCAGGUUAAGUCCUAUAACGAGCGCAACCCCUGUGGUUAGUUGCCAGCGAGUAAUGUCGGGAACUCUAGCCAGACUGCCGGUGCAAACCGCGAGGAAGGUGGGGAUGACGUCAAAUCAUCACGGCCCUUACGUCCUGGGCCACACACGUGCUACAAUGGUAGGGACAGAGAGCAGCCACUUCGCGAGAAGGAGCGAAUCUACAAACCCUAUCACAGUUCGGAUCGCAGUCUGCAACUCGACUGCGUGAAGCUGGAAUCGCUAGUAAUCGCAUAUCAGCCAUGAUGCGGUGAAUACGUUCCCGGGCCUUGUACACACCGCCCGUCAAGCCAUGGAAGCCGGGGGUACCUGAAGUCGGUCACCGC
RNAcentral lists this ribosomal RNA (1379 nucleotides) under Salegentibacter sp. RNAcentral describes it as "bacterial SSU rRNA". It matches the Rfam family "Bacterial small subunit ribosomal RNA", at positions 65 to 1437 of the family's 1533-position model. Lineage: Bacteria; Pseudomonadati; Bacteroidota; Flavobacteriia; Flavobacteriales; Flavobacteriaceae. The record is from RNAcentral.